This 368-nucleotide ribosomal RNA is filed under the name uncultured organism. RNAcentral describes it as "bacterial LSU rRNA". It matches the Rfam family "Bacterial large subunit ribosomal RNA", at positions 2099 to 2465 of the family's 2925-position model. The record is from RNAcentral.
CUUUACUGCAGCCUGGUAUUGGGUUCGGGCUUUGACUGCGCAGGAUAGGUGGGAGACUGAGAAGUGUGCCUUGUGGAGCACAUAGAGUCAACGGUGAGAUACCGCUCUGUCAGAGCUAGAAUUCUAACCUUCACCCGUGAUCCGGGGAAGGAACCGUAUCAGGUGGGCAGUUUGACUGGGGCGGUCGCCUCCUAAAAGGUAACGGAGGCGCGCAAAGGUGUUCUCAGGCUGGUUGGAAAUCAGCCGUAGAGUGUAAAGGCAGAAGAACGCUUGACUGUGAGAGUGACAACUCAAGCAGGGUGGAAACACGGCCUUAGUGAUCCGACGGUAUGCGCGUGGAAGUGCCGUCGCUCAACGGAUAAAAGUUA